Molecule: ribosomal RNA, 543 nt
Filed under: uncultured bacterium
Lineage: Bacteria
Description: bacterial SSU rRNA
Rfam family: Bacterial small subunit ribosomal RNA
Source: RNAcentral
GCAGUCGUACGCGGAAGUCCGCUUCGGUGGGCGAGUAGAGUGGCGAACGGGUGAGUAAUGUGUGGGUAAUCUGCCUUUCAGCGGGGGAUAACCCGGGGAAACCUGGGCUAAUACCGCGUAACAUUGCAUGGUCUUCGGAUCGUGUAAUCAAAGAUGGCCUCUGCUUGCAAGCUAUCGCUGAGAGAUGAGCCCACAUCCUAUCACGCUUGUUGGUGGGGUAAUGGCCUACCAAGGCGACGACGGGUAGCCGGCCUGAGAGGGUGUCCGGCCACACUGGAACUGAGACACGGUCCAGACUCCUACGGGAGGCAGCAGUGGGGAAUUUUUCGCAAUGGGCGCAAGCCUGACGAAGCAACGCCGCGUGGAGGAUGAAGGCCCUAGCGGUCGUAAACUCCUGUCUAGCGGGACGAAACCUUGCAGGGUGAAUAAUCCUGCGAAUUGACUGUACCGCUGGAGGAAGCUCCGGCCAACUCCGUGCCAGCAGCCGCGGUAAUACGGAGGGAGCAAGCGUUACUCGGAAUUAUUGGGCGUAAAGGGCGCGUA